GAUGAACGCUGGCGGCGUGCCUAAUACAUGCAAGUCGAGCGAACAGAUGAGGAGCUUGCUCCUCUGACGUUAGCGGCGGACGGGUGAGUAACACGUGGGUAACCUACCUAUAAGACUGGGAUAACUUCGGGAAACCGGAGCUAAUACCGGAUAAUAUUUCGAACCGCAUGGUUCGAUAGUGAAAGAUGGCUUUGCUAUCACUUAUAGAUGGACCUGCGCCGUAUUAGCUAGUUGGUAAGGUAACGGCUUACCAAGGCAACGAUACGUAGCCGACCUGAGAGGGUGAUCGGCCACACUGGAACUGAGACACGGUCCAGACUCCUACGGGAGGCAGCAGUAGGGAAUCUUCCGCAAUGGGCGAAAGCCUGACGGAGCAACGCCGCGUGAGUGAUGAAGGUCUUCGGAUCGUAAAACUCUGUUAUUAGGGAAGAAUAAACGUGUAAGUAACUGUGCACGUCUUGACGGUACCUAAUCAGAAAGCCACGGCUAACUACGUG
Molecule: ribosomal RNA, 497 nt
Filed under: uncultured bacterium
Lineage: Bacteria
Description: partial 16S ribosomal RNA
Rfam family: Bacterial small subunit ribosomal RNA
Source: RNAcentral